UACAGAGGGGGCAAGCGUUAUUCGGAAUUAUUGGGCGUAAAGGGCGCGUAGGCGGCUUUGCAAGUGACGGGUGAAAUCCCUCGGCUUAACCGAGGAACUGCCUGUCAGACUGCAUGGCUCGAGACCAGGAGAGGUGAGUGGAAUUCCCAGUGUAGCGGUGAAAUGCGUAGAUAUUGGGAGGAACACCAGUGGCGAAGGCGGCUCACUGGACUGGUACUGACGCUGAUGCGCGAAAGCGUGGGGAGCGAACAGG
Molecule: ribosomal RNA, 253 nt
Filed under: uncultured bacterium
Lineage: Bacteria
Description: partial 16S ribosomal RNA
Rfam family: Bacterial small subunit ribosomal RNA
Source: RNAcentral